UCUGUUGCUUUUGGAAGAAGCUAAUGCUCUGUCUGACGUGGCACCCCAUCUCUAAUAAUAGCCAAAGCUGGAUGCUUCAGAAGAAAAAGUAUAAAAUCCAAAAUAAUACCCUUCGCUCUGCAACAUCUCCUGGGGAGGAGUUUCUGUCUAACUCCACUUGUUUAAGCCUUGAGAGCUAACGAUUUUCAAUUGGUUAAAGUCUUGAGCAGGGAAGCCACAAGAGUUUCUAUUUAGGCCAUUUCCCUCUCCUAGCAUCUUGCUAAGAAAUACCUGGGCAGAGGAAGGAAGAAAAGUGACUCAGGAAGGGUUUGCAGUUGUACUGGCAACAAGGGUGACCUGUCAGACACUGCAAUAUACUAGUAAAAGAGAGAUGCACACGACAACUGGUCCCACUCUCGCCAGAGCUGCCAGUAACAGCCAGCUCAGGUUUUCCCCACAGGGUCAUUUCAGUGAUGACAGGAAUGCCUACCACUUACAUGAUACUGUUCUUUUGCAGGGUGCUGUGCAGACAUUAAUGAAGCCUCAGAACAGUCCCAUUUCACAGUUGGGGAAACUGAGAAGUUAAGUGACUUUCUCCAGACCCCACACCAAGCCAGUGGCAGUGCCAGGACUAGAACUCAGAACCUAGGCAUGCUGCAAACUGAAAUGGAAAUGGAGACUAUGUACACAGGGAUAACUCCGUCCACUAGCGAAGUGGUGAUAAGAUGCAGGGUGAAACAAGGAAGCUGUUUAACAACAUGCAGCAAAGCUAUACAACCGGUUAGCAAGUGAAGAAGAAUUCUUUGUCUUGCUGAAGCUGCAAGAGAAUUAAAGAAAGCAGAACAUAAUUACCUACGCUGGAAUGUGGCCAAAUCACUUUUACAACUGUUCCCUGUACAAAGAUUUCCAUGGGAACUUUAAUGAUCACAAGUGGUCAGGACCCCAACAGCACCUGCAACAGCCUAGCACCAUGCUGAUGUAUUGGUUCUGCACUCACUCAGAAAGAAGCAGUGUCGCCAUGGCCCACAUCUCCAGCAUCACUACCUGCAGCAUCUAGGCAUCCCCUGGAGGUCUCCUAUUCAAGCACUGAACUGGCCUGACCUUCUAACAACAUCACAGCACAAAGCAGUAUUGUCUGCUGCACGACCCUACAUAGGUCACUUGAUCAAACUGAAGGUGCCAGCCAGAAAAAUGGAUUCCAAUUUGUUUUCCUUGAAUCGAAUAGCAAAAUAAUUCUAUAUACCUUGCAGACACAGCACCCUCCCAAAAAUAAAUAAAAAGAGAGAUUUCCAAGGGACUGCCCAUUUCAGGACAGCAAUUAUUUCUGUUUAAAGCUCUAAUGGGUGUUGUGUGUUUGUGUUUUGGAACUUUAAGAUGAUGACUGGCCAGAAUGCAGCUUGGCCAGUCAUUAACAACCUUCUGAUGACUGCAACAUACUAUCUGCAGGACAGCACUGAAGGCCAGAAUGAUUAAUGCCCAGGGAUGCACCAGUUUUGAAACCGCAACUGGGAGAACCUGAAAGUCAAGACAGGAAGGGAGUCCUUGCAACGCCAACAGGAAUGCUGAGGUCACAGACAAGACUGCUUUGGUGCUACCCUCCCUUCCUUUUAAAGCCGGUCUGACAAGAAAAGCUGUCUGAAAUGAGCUGCCAACGCUGACCCGAACCCGCAUUCUUUGGGGAAAAACAAGUUUUGUCUAACGUGUUUCACCCAGCUCCACUGACAAGUGACAAGACAACACUGCAGAUGGUCUUCUGCUGACUGAGUCUCCCACCAGACUCUGCCUACAGGGAAAGAGUCACAGAAAGGGGUGAUGCUUGCAGGAAGGGAUGCAACAUCCAGGGAUCUGCGUGGGAGAGGGAUCAUGUGCCAAUAUGCGGCAUGUGACAUUGAGCAGUGCUCACUAACAGCAGGGAAGCUGGUUUCUGUAGCUCUCAUGCUAUUUGCAAAAGAAAAUCCCAGCUCAUGAUGUCAAGUCAUAAAAGCAGCCAAGACUGUGGACACCUCUCUAACAACAGGUUAGGGAUGCUACACAUCACAUCACAUUCUGCUGAACAGAAUGCCAAGUAAGGAUUCAAGGUACCCAACUGGUGAAUGUUGUUGACUUGUAGGCAAGGCUCUCCCAGAGGCUUUAUGGCACGUUUGUAAGCAAGAGUCCUAUGAUGCUUUGUAGUAAUGUUAAGAGGGGAAAAGUACUGGCUUAUGACAACCUUUGUCAUAUUUCCUAAGAGCUAAUAAGUAUUUUUAAACAUACUAACCACAAUAACAGAGUUAUGAGUUAGCCAAAUGUGAAGGAUAAAUCACAGAUGUUCAGUCAUGCAGUUGGACAUUUAUAAAAAUGUAAUGAGUUAGGAAAUAUAAUAAAAUAAAAUGUCUGCAGGCUGGGGAAAAAGAAAACUACAGUAAUGAAAUUUAAACAAGUUGGGUAUAAUAGACAAAACCAAGACAGUAUUAAAAAAAAUGGCAUCAGGUUGCAAGGCAUGGUUCUACAAACUUGGUAAUAUAUAUACUUCUCUUUUGCACUAACCAUUGCUUAAUAAAUCAAAUCAAACUAAGUUACUUAAGGUCCCUUACUUAAUUACAUUUGAACCUGUAAUACUUCAUUACAUUGAUUAGCAAUGUAUAAGGCAUUUAUUAUCUAGUAAUACUCUAUACAUUCCAACUGAACCAACAUCAUUGGUAAAGAGAUCCCUGCUUUCAGCUUGCAAUAGCAAUACUCAUGCAAUUGCAUGGCACUUCCUGAAGAUUAAUGACCUGAGGGGAGCAGUCCACGUGACUAUUAACCCCAGAAAAACCCUGCAGUUAUUGACAAGUCAGCAUAUUCCUUUCCCAAAAGGGGAGACAUUGCAGAAUUUCUUGCAGAUUUCUAGGAUGAACGGUUCACACUGGCAGAAAGCCUGACUGUGCGUAGCUUCCAGCUGCAUGAGUAAUGCGCUGUAAAGAACCGAAUGUUUAGAACCAAAAAUAAAAACGGAAAUGUCACUGAGAGAAUGAGACAGAACUGGAAAAGGACGCGAGCGUGCCUUUGCCACUUUAAAUAAGACAACAAAGCCAGGAAGGUGCAGCCUCCCACUGGGGCAACUCCUACCCUAUCAUGAGUGCUUAGGGCGGGGCAGGCAAACUUUUUGGCCUGAGGGCCGCAUCGCGUUUCAGA
Long non-coding RNA from Trachemys scripta elegans, 3132 nucleotides. RefSeq lists it as uncharacterized. The record is from RefSeq and is a predicted model, not a curated record. The transcript has 3 exons. NCBI's taxonomy places the organism in Eukaryota, Metazoa, Chordata, Testudines, Emydidae.